This 253-nucleotide ribosomal RNA is filed under the name Hypericibacter sp. Its description in RNAcentral is "partial 16S ribosomal RNA". It matches the Rfam family "Bacterial small subunit ribosomal RNA", at positions 524 to 776 of the family's 1533-position model. RNAcentral also lists the same sequence under 1 other name. Lineage: Bacteria; Pseudomonadati; Pseudomonadota; Alphaproteobacteria; Rhodospirillales; Dongiaceae. The record is from RNAcentral.
UACGAAGGGGGCUAGCGUUGUUCGGAAUUACUGGGCGUAAAGGGCGCGUAGGCUGUGCUGUAAGUCAGGCGUGAAAGGCCCGGGCUCAACCUGGGAACUGCGUUUGAUACUGCGGCGCUGGAAUGCAGGAGAGGAUGGCGGAAUUCCCAGUGUAGAGGUGAAAUUCGUAGAUAUUGGGAAGAACACCGGUGGCGAAGGCGGCCAUCUGGCCUGCAAUUGACGCUGAGGCGCGAAAGCGUGGGGAGCAAACAGG